Bison bison bison is the source of this 135-nucleotide small nucleolar RNA. Lineage: Eukaryota; Metazoa; Chordata; Mammalia; Artiodactyla; Bovidae. The record is from Ensembl.
AGCCUCAUUCUAGAUGCAAAUGGGCACUGUUGUUCAUGGUGUCCAGAUAUUAUUGAUGUGGCCAUGCUGAGACAUAGGUUUUGCUGUCAUCACAGUAAUUUUAUUGCAGAGGUGACAGGGAGACCUGUGACCUGU